UGAGAUCAUUUCCCGAGAAUAAUUUCAAAUAGGCUGCCAGUCUCCGGGGUGCUAUUCUGGUUUUUCUCUCCUCCAGUCCUGAAAUCCUGAAAAAGAACUCCGGACAUUACUUGUGUGUAUGAAUACAACACUGAAGAUCUCUCUGCUGUCUGAGUCUCAUUAGACCACCAGAGGAUAGAGGAUUAAAGACAAGGGGAACUGUGAAGAGCAGAUAUGUGUGUAACCUGCACAAGGUCGAGUUCUAUUCUUUAGUCAAGUGGCCAUGAAGAACAGACGGAAAUCCCCUUCCUACAGCACACAGAGUGCCAAGCCUCACAACAUCUUCCCCUGCGAGAGUCAGAGCUCAUGAGAGAGCUCGAGAGGCAGAGGAAGGCCUGGUCUCCAUCACAGCUCCUGUUUGAAGGCAUCACGGCCGCCGGUGAACACCCGGCCAAACCAAACUCUGCCGAAACAGCGAGCGGAUUGUGAGCUCUGGAUGAAACGCACAUUCAUGGAAUAUCUGAGCUCAUACCAUCCUGCCUGCACAAUGACUGCUUUUCAUUCGUCCUGUUUUAGUCUCACCUGCCCAAACUGCAGCGAGAUCGGCCUCUCCCACCCUGAAUAAACACUGGGGAAUGGAUGCUGGGGAAUGAACACGCCGUCUGUAAUGGGUUUUAAUUGAUUUGUAAGGUGGCAGUAAUGCAGGGCUGUUGCAUUAUUGAUCACGCUGGGCCCAAUCGUGAAUUCCACACCGGAUCGUUUGAACACGCUGAUAAAAACACAGGGCUGAGCAGGAGCUCAAGGUUCAGUAUUUUUCCACUGUCUGCAGCCUGGAAAUAAAUAGCGGUUUCUUUGGAGAUUGCUGGCUUUUGUGGAAUGGAUGAGAAGCUGCAGUACUGUGUAGAAAAUGAUAGAUGAAAAGAGAUAUCUGAAAGAAACCUUUCACCUUUCUACCACUUGAAGAAAGGGCAUUUAUUUAUUAGUUUUAAUGGUGUUUGCUAAGGGAAGCAUCACUGUUAAUUAUUGCUCAUACAUUUAAUGAGGGAUCCAUGUCAUAUUAAGAGACAAUAGAACACCCAGAACACCCUAGCAACCGCAUAGCAACAUAGUACAAAACACAUAGAACACCUUAGCAACAGCAUAGAAAUACCUUGCAUAUGCAAUCAUCUUUUUUAUAAAUAAAAGUAUUUCCUGGCCAGAGGCAUGUGUUAUGCACACACACACACACACACACACACACACACACACACACACACACACACACACACACACACACACACACACACACACACACACACACACACACACACACACACACACACACACACACACACACUUCUCAAACACAUCACUGUACAGUAAAUGUUCCUUACACAAAUCACACACACCAUCAAAUCCUUAAGGAACAUAGUUUAAGUGCUGAGCAAAGUGUAAAAAUGAUCUGCGUGUGUGUGUGUGUGUGUUCUGUACGUGUACAUGCAUACGUGUGUGUUUGCAUUUAUGUAUGUGUACUGUAUAUUAUGUACUCGUGUGUGAGAAAGUACUACGUGUUCUCCUGUAUGUUUGUCUAUGUCUGAGCUAAAUCUGUGUGUGUGCGUGCGUGCAGGUGUGUGUUCGUGAAUGCUGUGAAUAAUAUGAAGUAGAGAGAGAGAGAGAGACUCUGGAACUGCUUGACUGCUCUAAUCCUUCAUUUCUUUUGUUCGUCUCUGCUGAUGGAGUUCAGAUGUUUCUUCUCAUUUGUCUUGAGCUGAACAUAAUCUGCCUCUCAAGCUUCAUUCUGUCCUGGAUGCUCUCUGAUCAAAGAGCUGUGAGGUGUGCAAACACGGUCAGAUCUCUUACGCAACCUUCUGUCACACAACACACCUGUUACCCUCUCCAAACUCUCCAGCCUGAGACAAAAGGUCACGUAUUGCUCAGAGGUUGCUCUUUUAUUGCUCAGGAGACUUGCAAUCCCAAUUUCAUAAUCAAGCAUCUGCAUUUUCUCCAAAAGUGAGGAGGAGUAAAAAUGCAAAAUAGAGUCAAUGGUUGAGCACGGGUUAAGGCAUUGUUGCGGUAAAGUUUAUAAACUUUUUAGAAGAUUUGGGAUAAGUCUCAAUCUGUUCUCCAUUUAGUCUCAUUGAUGUUUCAAAAAAAACAACAACCAUGAUACUAAAGAGAUUUUAAGGUGUCAUGAUGAGAAAAGCUCAAGAGAGUUUAAAUGUAUAAUGUUUUCUCAAAGAUUGCUCUUUUAUAGCUCAGGAGAUGUAUUGGAGUCCUAAUUUAUGUUCUUGAAGUAUCAGCAUUUUCUCAGAUGUUUGAGCAAAGCUUAACGUUGUUGAGAUGCUUUCUUAGUUCUCGUGUCUCUUUUUAGGAGAAUUAGACUAAAUCUCAACCGGUUCUCCAUUCGGUGUUGACAAAAACCCAAUUGAGAUAUUAAAGAGAUCCGAUUUUUUAAGCUCAUAGAAGAGCUUAAAAGAUUUGAGAUGUAUAGAAUUUGCUCAGACGUUAAUCUUAUAAAAGAUUAACCUCUGAUGGAGACUUCAAAUGUUUCCUUUAAGCAUCAACUUUGUCUCCGAUGUUUCUCCUUGCAGAGGAGAGAGACAUUUUCAAUGCUACAGUCUUGCUUUAUGAUUGACAGAUUGCUGUAGAUAAACAAGCCCUUCUGGAAUCUGAUUCAUGAUUUUUUCUUUCCUUAGUGCAGGGAACUCCAUGGAAGUCUCUCAGGAGUCUCACAGUGGCAUCAGUCUUUCUCAUUUUCAGGCCUUUAACUCCUCGCGCCCGCCAUUGAGACCCCUAUAACCAUAAACCUCAGCAUUGAUCGUAUGACUCUGUGCGGCGGAGGGGAGACUGUUUCCCGAUGGGCGACGGGAUCAACCGGGAGGAGACGGAGAACCGGGGACACAGCAGCAUCCUGAGAUGGCCUUUGAUGUGCCUGAUGAAUGCAGAGCAACAGGGAGCCCGAGAGAGACUCAACCUGCUGUGGCUCUCAAAAGGAUUGAUUCCCCGCCGCUGCUGCCUGGAUAGUCGGAAAAAAAAUGAGAAAGCAGAGAACCAACAAAGCCCGGCCACUUAGCGGAGUUCACUGCUGCGCUGUGGCUUCAAGAAAAUGCGCUCUUUUUGUUGAUGUCACUAGGUGAACAGAGAGCAUGCUGGGAACAGGUUACAUGUAAAGAAGUCUUUCAACAGCUCUCUAAUGCAAAGAGAGGAUUUGUAUUGAGUGAAUGGAGGUGGUCUGUAUUUGUUUUUCUGAAAGAUAUCACUUAUCUGUUUGUGAGCGGAGGGUCGGGAUACUUCAGCGGAGGUCGAGCUCUGUGGACCGCAUUGAUCUCAGAAGUGUUAAGGAAGAAACAGACCUUGUUUUCUCAGCACACAUUAUUACAGCCGGUUUAAAAACAGAACCGCCGUCCGUCGAGAGUAAUGCUUAAACAAAUGUUGUUUUAAUAUCACAGUCCAUUACUGACACACUUUUUUAUAUGUUGGUUAUUUGAAUAAACUUGCUCUUCUGCAUCUCUCACCGUCUCGCCUCGCUGUUCUGUCUCCAUCUGUUGGUCGCUUUUUGCAUCCCCUGAAAUGGAAAUGUACCAAAUGAAUGAAGUGAUUCUGAGAACGUUCUUUUAUCAUUUGUCGAUAUCAAGGUUUAACCUAAAAGGAGAGUUCAGCCAAAAAUGCCUCAUGUUUUUCCAAACCCACGUAACUCUCUUUUCUUCUUUCAACGCAGAUGUUUGGAAGAAUAUCCUGGCGCUCACAACGAGUCUUCUUACAAUAAAAAGUG
Molecule: long non-coding RNA, 3730 nt
Organism: Triplophysa rosa
Lineage: Eukaryota; Metazoa; Chordata; Actinopteri; Cypriniformes; Nemacheilidae
Exons: 3
Source: RefSeq, a predicted model, not a curated record